Molecule: ribosomal RNA, 514 nt
Filed under: Lodderomyces parapsilosis
Lineage: Eukaryota; Fungi; Ascomycota; Pichiomycetes; Serinales; Debaryomycetaceae
Description: eukaryotic LSU rRNA
Rfam family: 5.8S ribosomal RNA (bases 191-344)
Source: RNAcentral
UAACAAGGUUUCCGUAGGUGAACCUGCGGAAGGAUCAUUACAGAAUGAAAAGUGCUUAACUGCAUUUUUUCUUACACAUGUGUUUUUCUUUUUUUGAAAACUUUGCUUUGGUAGGCCUUCUAUAUGGGGCCUGCCAGAGAUUAAACUCAACCAAAUUUUAUUUAAUGUCAACCGAUUAUUUAAUAGUCAAAACUUUCAACAACGGAUCUCUUGGUUCUCGCAUCGAUGAAGAACGCAGCGAAAUGCGAUAAGUAAUAUGAAUUGCAGGUAUUCGUGAAUCAUCGAAUCUUUGAACGCACAUUGCGCCCUUUGGUAUUCCAAAGGGCAUGCCUGUUUGAGCGUCAUUUCUCCCUCAAACCCUCGGGUUUGGUGUUGAGCGAUACGCUGGGUUUGCUUGAAAGAAAGGCGGAGUAUAAACUAAUGGAUAGGUUUUUUCCACUCAUUGGUACAAACUCCAAAACUUCUUCCAAAUUCGACCUCAAAUCAGGUAGGACUACCCGCUGAACUUAAGCAU